Molecule: ribosomal RNA, 1337 nt
Filed under: Escherichia coli
Lineage: Bacteria; Pseudomonadati; Pseudomonadota; Gammaproteobacteria; Enterobacterales; Enterobacteriaceae
Description: partial 23S ribosomal RNA
Rfam family: Bacterial large subunit ribosomal RNA
Source: RNAcentral
UUCCAGGCAAAUCCGGAAAACUAAGGCUGAGGCGUGAUGACGAGGCACUACGGUGCUGAAGCAACAAAUGCCCUGCUUCCAGGAAAAGCCUCUAAGCAUCAGGUAACAUCAAAUCGUACCCCAAACCGACACAGGUGGUCAGGUAGAGAAUACCAAGGCGCUUGAGAGAACUCGGGUGAAGGAACUAGGCAAAAUGGUGCCGUAACUUCGGGAGAAGGCACGCUGAUAUGUAGGUGAAGUCCCUCGCGGAUGGAGCUGAAAUCAGUCGAAGAUACCAGCUGGCUGCAACUGUUUAUUAAAAACACAGCACUGUGCAAACACGAAAGUGGACGUAUACGGUGUGACGCCUGCCCGGUGCCGGAAGGUUAAUUGAUGGGGUCAGCGCAAGCGAAGCUCUUGAUCGAAGCCCCGGUAAACGGCGGCCGUAACUAUAACGGUCCUAAGGUAGCGAAAUUCCUUGUCGGGUAAGUUCCGACCUGCACGAAUGGCGUAAUGAUGGCCAGGCUGUCUCCACCCGAGACUCAGUGAAAUUGAACUCGCUGUGAAGAUGCAGUGUACCCGCGGCAAGACGGAAAGACCCCGUGAACCUUUACUAUAGCUUGACACUGAACAUUGAGCCUUGAUGUGUAGGAUAGGUGGGAGGCUUUGAAGUGUGGACGCCAGUCUGCAUGGAGCCGACCUUGAAAUACCACCCUUUAAUGUUUGAUGUUCUAACGUUGACCCGUAAUCCGGGUUGCGGACAGUGUCUGGUGGGUAGUUUGACUGGGGCGGUCUCCUCCUAAAGAGUAACGGAGGAGCACGAAGGUUGGCUAAUCCUGGUCGGACAUCAGGAGGUUAGUGCAAUGGCAUAAGCCAGCUUGACUGCGAGCGUGACGGCGCGAGCAGGUGCGAAAGCAGGUCAUAGUGAUCCGGUGGUUCUGAAUGGAAGGGCCAUCGCUCAACGGAUAAAAGGUACUCCGGGGAUAACAGGCUGAUACCGCCCAAGAGUUCAUAUCGACGGCGGUGUUUGGCACCUCGAUGUCGGCUCAUCACAUCCUGGGGCUGAAGUAGGUCCCAAGGGUAUGGCUGUUCGCCAUUUAAAGUGGUACGCGAGCUGGGUUUAGAACGUCGUGAGACAGUUCGGUCCCUAUCUGCCGUGGGCGCUGGAGAACUGAGGGGGGCUGCUCCUAGUACGAGAGGACCGGAGUGGACGCAUCACUGGUGUUCGGGUUGUCAUGCCAAUGGCACUGCCCGGUAGCUAAAUGCGGAAGAGAUAAGUGCUGAAAGCAUCUAAGCACGAAACUUGCCCCGAGAUGAGUUCUCCCUGACUCCUUGAGAGUCCUGAAGGAACGUUGAAG